GGGAAAAAGUAGAGCGAUAGGACAGUGCGGCCCAGCGCCGCGCGAAAGGCAGGAACAGACCCGCGGAGAGGGACGGGUGCAAGGAGGUCCACGGCGAGCGUGGGAACACAGGGUUCAGCCUCCUGCGGCGGGAGAGCACGCGGACCAGGGGCGGGCGGGUGCGACAGGACGUGACCGGGAAGCGCGGCGCGUGCCACUGCCCUGGAGCAGGCAUCUGGUCUCCGUGGAGCGGGCAGGCGGGCCCCGGGUCUGGAGCCUGCGACUGGGGAGGGCGCCGCGUCAACGGCCGCGGUUGCGGGGCGGGGCCGAGUGCGCGUGCGCGGCUCUCGCGGGCGGGGAGCAGGCGGGGGAGCGGGCGGGAAGCGGUGGGAGCGCGCGUGCGCGCGGCCGGGCAGCCUGGGCAGUGGGUCCUGCCUGUGACGGGCGGCGGCGGUCGGUCCUGCCUGUAACGGCGGCGGCGGCUGCUGCUCCAGACACCUGCGGCGGCGGCGGCGACCCCGCGGCGGGCGCGGAGAUGUGGCCCCUGGUAGCGGCGCUGUUGCUGGGCUCGGCGUGCUGCGGAUCAGCUCAGCUACUAUUUAAUAAAACAAAAUCUGUAGAAUUCACGUUCUGUAAUGACACUGUUGUCAUUCCAUGCUUUGUUACUAAUAUGGAGGCACAAAACACUACCGAAGUAUAUGUAAAGUGGAAAUUUAAAGGAAGAGAUAUUUACACGUUUGAUGGAGCUCUAAACAAGUCCACUGUCUCCACUAACUUUAGUAGUGCAAAAAUUGAAGUCUCACAAUUACUAAAAGGAGAUGCCUCUUUGAAGAUGGAUAAGAGUGAUGCUGUCUCACACACAGGAAACUACACUUGUGAAGUAACAGAAUUAACCAGAGAAGGUGAAACGAUCAUUGAGCUAAAAUAUCGUGUUGUUUCAUGGUUUUCUCCAAAUGAAAAUAUUCUCAUUGUUAUUUUCCCAAUUUUUGCUAUACUCCUGUUUUGGGGACAGUUUGGUAUUAAAACACUUAAAUAUAGAUCCGGUGGUAUGGAUGAGAAAACGAUUGCUUUACUUGUUGCUGGACUAAUGAUCACUGUCAUUGUCAUUGUUGGAGCCAUUCUUUUCGUCCCAGGUGAAUAUUCAUUAAAGAAUGCUACUGGCCUUGGUUUAAUUGUGACUUCUACAGGGAUAUUAAUAUUACUUCACUACUAUGUGUUUAGUACAGCGAUUGGAUUAACCUCCUUCGUCAUUGCCAUAUUGGUUAUUCAGGUGAUAGCCUAUAUCCUCGCUGUGGUUGGACUGAGUCUCUGUAUUGCGGCGUGUAUACCAAUGCAUGGCCCUCUUCUGAUUUCAGGUUUGAGUAUCUUAGCUCUAGCACAAUUACUUGGACUAGUUUAUAUGAAAUUUGUGGAGUUCAGAGGAACACCUACGGUCAGUUGAAAGACAAGAAGAGACAAGCUUCCAAUCAGAAGACUAUACAACCUCCUAGGAAAGCUGUAGAGGAACCCCUUAAUGCAUUCAAAGAAUCAAAAGGAAUGAUGAAUGACGAAUAACUGAAGUGAAGUGAUGGACUCCGAUUUGGAGAGUAGUAAGACGUGAAAGGAAUACACUUGUGUUUAAGCACCAUGGCCUUGAUGAUUCACUGUUGGGGAGAAGAAACAAGAAAAGUAACUGGUUGUCACCUAUGAGACCCUUAUGUGAUUGUUAGUUAAGUUUUUAUUCAAAGCAGCUGUAAUUUAGUUAAUAAAAUAAUUAUGAUCUUUGUUGUUUGCCCAAUUGAGAUCCAGUUUUUUGUUGUUAUUUUUCAUCAAUUAGGGGCAAAAGUAAAAUGGACAAUUUCCAAGAAUGAUGCCUUUCAGAUCCUAGGGCCUCUGGUCUCUAGGUAACCAGUUUAAAUUGGUUCAGGGUGAUAACUACUUAGCACUGCCCUGGUGAUUACCCAGAGAUCACUAUGAAAACCAGUGGCUUCCAUCAAACCUUUGCCAACUCAGGUUCACAGCAGCUUUGGGCAGUUAUGGCAGUAUGGCAUUAGCUGAGAUGUGUCCGCCACUUCUGGGUCAAGGGAAUAAUAAAUUAAGUACAGGCAGGAAUUUGGUUGGGAGCAUCUUGUAUGCCAUCUCUGUAUGACGUGAUAUUGAUGGAGAUAGUGGUCCUCAUUCUUGGGGGUUGCCAUUCCCACAUUUCCCCUUCCACAAACAGUGUAACAGGUCCUUCCCAGAUUUAGGGUACUUUUAUUGAUGGAUAUGUUUUCCUUUUAUUCACAUAACCCCUUGAAACUCUGUCUUGUCCUGCUGUUACUUGCUUCUGCUGUACAAGAUGUAGCACCUUUUCUCCUCUUUGAACAUGGUCUAGUGACACGGUAGCACCAGUUGCAGGAAGGAGCCAGACGUGUUCUCAGAGCACUUUGUUCACACUUUUCAGCAAAAAUAGCUAUGGUUGUAACAUAUGUAUUCCCUUCCUCUGAUUUGAAGGCAAAAAUCUACAGUGUUUCUUCACUUCUUUUCUGAUCUGGGGCAUGAAAAAGCAAGAUUGAAAUUUGAACUAUGAGUCUCCUGCAUGGCAACAAAAUGUGUGUCACCAUCAGGCCAAUGGGCCAGCCCUUGAAUGGGGGUUUAUUACUGUUGUAUCUAUGUUGCAUGAUAAACAUUCAUCACCUUCCUCCUGUAGUCUUGCCUCGUACUCCCCUUCCCUUAUGAUUGAAAAAUAAACAAAACCCACAUUUCCUAUCCUGGUUAGAAGAAAAUUAACGUUCUGACAGUUGUGAUCGCCUGGAGUACUUUUAGACUUUUAGCACUCGUUUUUUUACCUGUUUGUGGGUGUGUGUUUGUAUGUGCAUAUGUAUGAGAAAGGCACAUGCAUCUUCUGUAUGGACAAAGAUGGGGUACCUACAGGAGAGCAAAGGUUAAUUUUGUGCUUUUAGUAAAAACAUUUAAAUACAAAGUUCUUUAUUGGGUGGAAUUAUAUUUGAUGCAAAUAUUUGAUCACUUAAAACUUUUAAAACUUCUAGGUAAUUCGCCACGCUUUUUGACUGCUUACCAAUACCCUGUAAAAAUACGUAAUUCUUCCUGUUUGUGUAAUGAGAUAUUCAUAUUUGUAGUUGCAUUAAUAAUAGUUAUUUCUUAGUCCAUCAGAUGUUCCCGUGUGCCUCUUUUAUGCCAAAUUAAUUGUCAUAUUUCAUGUUGGGACCAAGUAGUUUGCCGAUGGCAAACCUAAAUUCAUGACCUGCUGAAGCCUCUCAGAAAACUGAACAUACUAGCAAGACAGCUCUUCUUGAAAAAAAAAAUAUGUAUACGCAAAUAUAUACGUAUAUCUAUAUAUACGUAUAUCUAUACACACAUGUAUAUUAUUCCCUGAUUGUGUAGCUGUCCAAAAUAAUAACAUAUAUAGAGGGAGCUGUAUUCCUGUAUACAAAUCCAAUGGCUCCUGCAGCACUUUUUCCUUCCGAAAAUAUUUACACUUUGCUAACAUAAUUUGUUACUUUAAAAAUCAGUUUUGAUGAAACGAGGGAAAAGCAGAUGGACUUGAAAAACAUCCAAACUCCUAUUAGGAAAGGUAUGAAAAUCUUUAUAGUAAAAUUUUUUAUAAACUAAAGUUGUACCUUUUAAUAUGUGGUAAACUCUCAUUUAUUUGGGGUUCACUCUUGGAUCUCAUCCAUCCAUUGUGUUCUCUUUAAUGCUGCCUGCCUUUUGAGGCAUUCACUGCCCUAGACAAUGCCACCAGAGGUAGUGGGGGAAAUGCCAGAUGAAACCAACUCUUGCUCUAACUAGUUGUCAGCUUCUCUGAAUAAGGGACCACAGCAGCAGGAGUCCUCCUGCUUGGGCAUCAUUGGGCCAGUUCCUUCUCUUUAAAUCAGAUUUGUAAUGGCUCCCAAAUUCCAUCGCAUUACAUUUAAAUUGCAGACAAUGUUUUGCACAUUAUGUAUCUGUUUUGUCCCAUAAUAUGCUUUUUACUCCCUGAUCCCAGUUUCUGCUGUCGACUCUUCCAUUCAGUUUUAUUUAUUGUCUGUUCUCACAGUGACACCAUUUGUCCUUUUCUGCAACAACCUUUCCAGCUGCUUUUGCCAAAUUCUAUUUGUCUUCUCCUUCAAAACAUUCUCCUCCAGCCCUGCAGCCCCUUCCCCCAGCUAUCCUUUGCAGUCUUUCUCCAUCUGUGUAGCUGCUCUUUUAUCUCUUAACUUACCGUUCCUACAGUACUUUAUGCAUCUUUGCUUAGUUCUAUUAGUUUUUUGGUCUUGCUCCUCUCCCUUGAUUUUAAAAUUCCUUCUAUAGCUAGAGCUUUUCUUCCAUUCUCUCUUCCUGCAGUGUUUUGCAUACAUCAGAAGCUAGAUACAUAAGUUAAAUGAUUGAGAGUUGGCUGUAUUUAGAUUUAUCACUUUUUAAUAGGAUGAGCUUGAGAGUUUUCUUGUCUUUUUUUUUUUUUUUUUUUUUUUUUUUUUGACAAAUGUCACAUGCUCUAAAAACCUUCAAAGGUGAUUAUUUUUCUCCUGGAAACUCCAGGUCCAUUCUGUUUAAAUCCCUAAGAAUAUCAGAAUUAAAAUAACGGGCUAUCCUGUAAUUGGAAAUAUUUCUUUUUUCCGGAUGCUAUAGUCAAUUUAGUAAGUAACCACCAAAUUGUUAUUUGCACUAACAAAGCUCAAAACACGAUAAGUUUACUCCUCCAUCUCAAUAAUAAAAAUUAAGCUGUAAUCAACCUUCUAGGUUUCUCUUGUCGUAAAAUGGUAUUCAAAAAGGGGGAUCUGUGGUGUGUGUGGAAACACAUACUCCUUAAUUUACCUGUUGUUGGAAGCUGGAGAAAUGAUUGUCGGGCAACCGUUUAUCUUUUAUUGUAUUUUAUUUGGUUGAGGGAUUUUUUUAUAAACAGUUUUACUUGUGUCAUAUUUUAAACUUACUAACUGCCAUCACCUGCUGGGGGUCCUUUGUUAAGUCAUUUUCAGUGACUAAUAGGGAUAAUCCAGGUAACUUUGAAGAGAUGAGCAGUGAGUGACCAGGAAGUUUUUCUGCCUUUAACUUUGACAGUUCUUAAUUAUGAUCAUUGAAAACCAGCUUUCUCAUAAAUUUCUCUUUUUGAGAAAAAGAAAGCAUUUGUACUAAGCUCCUCUGUAAGACGACAUCUUAAAUCUUAAGUGUUGUUACCAUGGCUGGUGAGAGAAGAAAACAUUUUGUUUUUAUUAAAUGGAGCAUUAUUUACAAAAAGCCAUUGUUGACAAUUAGAUCCCACAUCGUAUAAAUAUCUAUUAACCAUUCUAAAUAAAGAGAACUCCAGUGUUGCUAUGUGCAAGAUCCUCUCUUGAGAGCUUUUUUGCAUAGCAAUUAAAGGUGUGCUAUUUGUCAGUAGCCAUUUUUUUGCAGUGAUUUGAAGACCAAAGUUGUUUAACAGCUGUGUUACCGUUAAAGGUUUUUUUUUUUAUAUGUAUUAAAUCAAUUUAUCACUGUUUGAAGCUUUGAAUAUCUGCAAUCUUUGCCAAGAUACUUUUUUAUUUAAAAAAACAUAACUUUGUAAAUAUUACCCUGUAAUAUUAUAUAUACUUAAUAAAACAUUUUAAGCUA
RNA transcript from Rhinopithecus roxellana (golden snub-nosed monkey), 5526 nucleotides. It is a transcript of the gene named CD47 molecule, with no coding region annotated. The transcript has 12 exons. The record is from RefSeq and is a predicted model, not a curated record. NCBI's taxonomy places the organism in Eukaryota, Metazoa, Chordata, Mammalia, Primates, Cercopithecidae.